GGCGAGGGGAGUGAAAAAGAACCUGAAACCGUGUACGUACAAGCAGUGGGAGCCCCACCACCAAAGCAUUCUCUGGUGUUGAAGGCCCUGCAAAGCAGCAUCGCGGUGGCGGAGCGUCGUUUGCGACGCCCAACACACAAAACAAGCGGUGAGUGCUUUGGGGUGGGGUGACUGCGUACCUUUUGUAUAAUGGGUCAGCGACUUAUAUUCUGUAGCAAGGUUAACCGWAUAGGGGAGCCGSAGGGAAACCGAGUCUUAAYYGGGCGUUAAGUUGCAGGGUAUAGACCCGAAACCCGGUGAUCUAGCCAUGGGCAGGUUGAAGGUUGGGUAACACUAACUGGAGGACCGAACCGACUAAUGUUGAAAAAUUAGCGGAUGACCUGUGGCUGGGGGUGAAAGGCCAAUCAAACCGGGAGAUAGCUGGUUCUCCCCGAAAGCUAUUUAGGUAGCGCCUCGUGAAUUCAUCUCCGGGGGUAGAGCACUGUUUCGGCUAGGGGGCCAUCCCGGCUUUCCCGGCUU
This 519-nucleotide ribosomal RNA is filed under the name Salmonella enterica. RNAcentral describes it as "partial 23S ribosomal RNA". Lineage: Bacteria; Pseudomonadati; Pseudomonadota; Gammaproteobacteria; Enterobacterales; Enterobacteriaceae. The record is from RNAcentral.